RNAcentral lists this ribosomal RNA (633 nucleotides) under uncultured Marinobacter sp. RNAcentral's name for it is "bacterial SSU rRNA". It matches the Rfam family "Bacterial small subunit ribosomal RNA", at positions 870 to 1504 of the family's 1533-position model. The record is from RNAcentral. Lineage: Bacteria; Pseudomonadati; Pseudomonadota; Gammaproteobacteria; Pseudomonadales; Marinobacteraceae.
CGCCUGGGGAGUGCGGCCGCAAGGUUAAAACUCAAAUGAAUUGACGGGGGCCCGCACAAGCGGUGGAGCAUGUGGUUUAAUUCGACGCAACGCGAAGAACCUUACCUGGCCUUGACAUCCAGAGAGCUUUCCAGAGAUGGAUUGGUGCCUUCGGGAACUCUGAGACAGGUGCUGCAUGGCCGUCGUCAGCUCGUGUCGUGAGAUGUUGGGUUAAGUCCCGUAACGAGCGCAACCCCUAUCCCUGGUUGCUAGCAGGUAAUGCUGAGAACUCCAGGGAGACUGCCGGUGACAAACCGGAGGAAGGUGGGGAUGACGUCAGGUCAUCAUGGCCCUUACGGCCAGGGCUACACACGUGCUACAAUGGCGCGUACAGAGGGCUGCCAACUCGCGAGAGUGAGCCAAUCCCUUAAAACGCGUCGUAGUCCGGAUCGGAGUCUGCAACUCGACUCCGUGAAGUCGGAAUCGCUAGUAAUCGCGAAUCAGAAUGUCGCGGUGAAUACGUUCCCGGGCCUUGUACACACCGCCCGUCACCAUGGGAGUGGAUUGCACCAGAAGUAGUUAGUCUAACCUUCGGGAGGACGAUUACCACGGUGUGGUUCAUGACUGGGGUGAAGUCGUAACAAGGUAACCGUA